AUUUGAGUUUCCUACCAGCUGAAACCAAGUAAACCUUAUGCUGAAUUGAGGGAACAGCCAUGGUGGUGAAGAAGAGGAAGAGCCCCAAAGUAGAGGCUGUAGUUUUGGAUGAGGAGAAACUACACAAGCUGAUAGCAUCCCUCUCUGUGGGCGGAGGAGAGGAUGGAGUCCGGGAGGUGGCACAGACCCUGCAGUCCUGCCUCGAGCUGACGGAGCCGGUGCAGCAGAUCCAGCUUGUUA
Molecule: long non-coding RNA, 240 nt
Organism: Notothenia coriiceps (black rockcod)
Lineage: Eukaryota; Metazoa; Chordata; Actinopteri; Perciformes; Nototheniidae
Exons: 3
Source: RefSeq, a predicted model, not a curated record